UAUGUGCGAGUAGGAGUGCACAUAAGCCGUUGCUGACCCGGCUAUGUGUGAGUGGGAGUGCACAUAAGCCGUUGUUGCCUCCAUAGCUUAUAGGGCUGGAUGCUUCGUGAUCUUCCACCCUAUGAGUGCUUUGAUAGGUAUGAUCUGUGGCGAAGUAUGACUCUCCGCCCAAGAGCUUGGAAGAGGAGGGAAGGGACUGCUCCGUUGCUUCGUGAUCCGGAGUGAAGUGCACCUCUUGCCGAGUGAAGGGGGGGAUGCUUC
This 261-nucleotide long non-coding RNA is filed under the name Theobroma cacao (cacao). RNAcentral describes it as "long non-coding RNA (TCAC_LNC003170)". The record is from RNAcentral. Lineage: Eukaryota; Viridiplantae; Streptophyta; Magnoliopsida; Malvales; Malvaceae.